UACAGAGGGUGCAAACGUUGCUCGGAAUUAUUGGGCGUAAAGCGCAUGUAGGCGGCACGAUAAGUUCACUGUGAAAGCCCUUGGCUCAACUGGGGAGGGUCACGCGAUACUGAUCGACUCGAAGGCAGGAGAGGGUAGUGGAAUUCCCGGUGUAGUGGUGAAAUGCGUAGAUAUCGGGAGGAACACCAGUGGCGAAGGCGACUACCUGGCCUGUUCUUGACGCUGAGGCGCGAAAGCUAGGGGAGCAAACGGG
Molecule: ribosomal RNA, 253 nt
Filed under: uncultured bacterium
Lineage: Bacteria
Description: partial 16S ribosomal RNA
Rfam family: Bacterial small subunit ribosomal RNA
Source: RNAcentral